This 161-nucleotide microRNA precursor is filed under the name Oryza brachyantha (malo sina). RNAcentral describes it as "MIR812 microRNA precursor family". It matches the Rfam family "MIR812 microRNA precursor family", at positions 27 to 189 of the family's 205-position model. Lineage: Eukaryota; Viridiplantae; Streptophyta; Magnoliopsida; Poales; Poaceae. The record is from Rfam by way of RNAcentral.
UAUAAUUUUUGACUAUUCGUCUUAUUAAAAAAUUUUACGAUUGAUAUUUUUGUUUUUAUUAUAUGAUAAAUCAUAAAUAGUAUUUUACGUGUGACUAAUUUUUUUUAAUUUUCUAAAUUUUUUUAAAUAAAGCGGAUGAUCAAACUUUGGACACGGAAACC